UGAGCACCGAUUCAGCCCACUGAUUGGGGUUGGUGUGUGUUACCCAACAGUUUGUCACCAUUUUGUUGGAUUGGUGCCUUGUCAUGCAGCAUUCACCGAUCAUGGGUGGCUAAUGGGCUUUUUGCCAAUUUAAUAUUCCACAAUUUGUAUACGUGGCAAAUUUUGUAUAUUGACUACUCUGCAAUCCAAUACCUACUCCAAAAGGCUCAAACAGAGCUGGGUACUUGAGUAGGGUUCUCAACUACUUACUCUCUUCCUACUCGACCCAAAAAAAUUCUCUUGCACAAAUUUUUGCUUUUAGAUUCUUCUUAAGUUGUACACAACACCACCUACACCAAUGGCUUCAGGUUGAGCCGAUCUACAAAAGCCCCAAACUUCCAAAACUUGCCGUCACAGGAGUUUGCCACACGCGCCGCUCCUUGCUUUAUACUUUUCCAAUAUCGACUCGAACCGGCUUCGAUCACAUUCUCAAUGGAUCCAGACCAGAUAAGAAGCUCACAAUGGAAGGUCUCAGGUUUUCUGGAAAUGGAGAAGCAGAGAAGGAUAAUUCUAAUAUAGUCAUGCAAUUCCAUAUUAUGUGGAGUUCUUCUCAUCGUAAAUGCAAUGAAGAUUAGAAAGAACCAAACAUAUUUAGCUUCAUGUGGUACCCUCUGAUUAUAGAGAUGAAUUUUAUCAGGUAUGGUGCGUACCCUAAAUCUUGGGCUUGAGAAGACAAUGCAUAUCAAGAUCUCUGUGGCAUGAGAUAACUUGUGAAGGAUAUUUGAGCAGCUUGAGGUUAUGCUCGGUAGGUGGAGCUCAGCCUUGGAGGUCUCCAUAUAACCGUACAGGAUUCUGUUGCAACUACAUUUUUUUAAAAAAAAUUUGGUAAAAUCUGGUAGACCAUUUUUUAUAUGGUUUCCAGCAUGUGAAUUGGUGGGUUGUAAUAGCUUUGUUGCAGGAAUGUUCAACAUAUUGCUUUUAAUUGAAUGAUUGGUUGCCUUUUAAA
Rosa rugosa (rugosa rose) is the source of this 985-nucleotide long non-coding RNA. RefSeq lists it as uncharacterized. The record is from RefSeq and is a predicted model, not a curated record. NCBI's taxonomy places the organism in Eukaryota, Viridiplantae, Streptophyta, Magnoliopsida, Rosales, Rosaceae. The transcript has 5 exons.